GGGUCAGUAGGUUGGUCGUGCCACCGGUACGUACUGGUCUCACUGAUUCCUCCUUCUUGAAGAACCGUAAUGCCAUUAAUUUGGUGUUGCGGGGAAACAGGACUGUUACUUUGAAAAAAUUAGAGUGCUUAAAGCAAGCUAACGCUUGAAUACAUUAGCAUGGAAUAAUGAAAUAGGACGAUCGAUCCUAUUUUGUUGGUUUCUAGGAUUGACGUA
Molecule: ribosomal RNA, 216 nt
Filed under: Glomeromycotina sp.
Lineage: Eukaryota; Fungi; Glomeromycota
Description: partial small subunit ribosomal RNA
Rfam family: Eukaryotic small subunit ribosomal RNA (bases 40-216)
Source: RNAcentral